AUUUUGACUAUAUCAAACUAUGUCCGAUACCGAGUGGACAUUGCAUAGUAGUAGCCGAAUAGUAGCCGAUGAGACAUAGGAUCAAAGAAACAUCGCUUUUGUUUACGGGGAGAGUGACAAGGACGGGAGUGAGAGAAAGAAAGGGGAGGGGAAUUGACAUUAAAGCAACACAACAAGGAAACUACACUGCAGAUACAGACGCCUUCAUUUUAUGUUUUUGAAUAAUAGCUCGCCAGCCAGUGUGGCGAAUUGUGUUUAUUGAACCUAUUCUGUGCAUUGCUCUAAAGUGGCCCGAAAAGAAAACCUCUUGGCGGAGUUGGAAAUAAAGCCGCUCUCCGACGCUUUCAGAGAAAUGGGCUCUGAGCCACCCUUGUCUCCACAGGUGGUGGAGGAGGGAGGAGAGGAAGAGGAGGAGGAGCUGAGUGGAGGAGAGGAGUCUGAUCUAAGGACCCCUUCAGGGCGUGGCUCCCUGCUGACUAGGCGAGGCAUCACCUUGAGAGUGCUGCUGAAGGACGGCCUGGUUGAGCCUGGGGACGGAGUGCUGUCCAUACACUACCUGGGUAAGAAGUUUGUAGGCGACCUGUUGAAUGAUGGGAAGAUCCGCUGGGUGGAGACGGGGCAGAUCUUCAAUUCUCCCAGUGCCUGGGCCACACACUGCAAGCGCCUGGUCAACCCUGCCAAGAAGUCAGGCUGUGGAUGGGCCUCGGUGCGCUACCGGGGCCAGAAACUAGUGCAGUACAAGACCAGCUGGCUGCACAAGUACCAGCCCAGUGCAGACAUGAGCCUGGUGAGCGAGGGAGAAGAUGACGAGAUGGGAGAUGAGGAGGAGGAAGAGGGGAAGACGGCAGUGCCGACAGAUGACAAGAACAGGAAGAACAAACCUGAGCUGCAUGAUAUCAGCCUUGUGCCCAGGAGAGGAGACAGAGAGCGAAUCCCAGUCAGAUACUGCACUCUGGGUACCAGGGAUGCUGCAAGGGAUCCACACACGUUGGUGGAGUUAUCAGCUUUCUCAGCCAUUAACAGGUUCCAGCCUUUCAAUGUUGCAGUAUCCAGCAAUGUGCUGCUUCUCAUGGAUUUCCACUGUCACCUGACCACCAGUGAGGUGGUGGGCUACCUCGGAGGACGAUGGGACACUAACACACAACUUCUGACAGUUUUAAGAGCGUUUCCCUGUCGUACACGAUUGGCAGACAGAGAUUCGGCCUCUGCUGUUGAAGAAGAGAUCUGCCAGAAUCUGUUCAUGCGAGGGCUGUCAUUGGUGGGCUGGUACCACAGUCACCCUCGGGGCCCCGCCCUGCCAUCCCUGCAGGACAUCGACUCUCAAAUGGACCACCAGCUGAGGCUCCAGGGGAGCAGCAAUGGCUUCCAGCCCUGCCUGGGCAUUAUCUGUGGCCCCUAUUACCAUGGGAACCAGGGUGUGGCGUCCACUAUAACACCGUUCUGGGUAGUGCCACCCCCGGAGCAAAGGCCCAAUGACUAUGGCAUUCCAGUGGCUGUGGAGGUGACCUAUGUACAAGAUAACUUCCUAACUAGUGAUGUCCUGAAUGAGAUGGUACUGUUCGCAAACUUAUACUGAAGAAAAAUAUAAACGCAACAUGCAAUAAUUUCAACGGUUUUACUGAGUUACAGUUGAUCUAAGGAAAUCAGUCAAUUGAAAUAAAUGAAUUAGGCCCUAAUCUAUGGAUUUCACAUGACUGGUUCAGGGGCACAGCCAUGGGUGGGAAUGGGAGAAUAGGCCUAUCUACUGGGGAGCCAGGCCCAGCCAAUCAAAAUGAGUUUUUCCCCACAAAAGGGUUUUAUUACAGAAAUAAAUACUCCUCAGUUUCAUCAGCUGUCCGGAUGACUGUUCUUAGGCGAUCCCGCAGGUGAAGAAGCCGGAUGUGGAGGUCCUUGGCUGGCAUGGUUACACUUGGUCUGUGGAUGUGAGGCCGGUUGGACGUACUGCCAAAUUCUAUAAAACAACGUUGGAGGCGGCUUAUGAUGCUGCUGGUGGACUUCUACAGGGCAGCCCCUGACCUGGUGCAGUUCCAUCAGUUCUGGUGUCCUGAUACCACCAUGAUGGACAAAAUCAAGGGCUCUCUGAGCGGCCAUGCACCCAAAGACCAGGCCUAUUCUCAGAUCCUGGAGCAUGUCUACAACCAACUCAUCAACACACACUAAGCUGGAGGAGAAACAAGGUUGUGUGUAUGCACUGGCUUCAAAUGAAAAUCUCGAAUAACCCAUUCCUCAUAUAGUUCACUACAUUUGUAGGUCUCUAUAUAGGGAAUAGGCUCUACACAGAGAAUAGGUUGUCAUUUCUGCCCUUUGUCUGUGGCACUUCAACUGCUGCCUUGACCUCAGGCAUACUGUAAGUUGGAUGUGCACUGUCCUGACGGAGGAGAUGGUGACUCCUGAGUCUGGAGGGCGAGUGUACUGUUCUCCAUGGCCUUUUCUGACUGUGAGGUCUGUAUCACUGACAAUGUUUGUACAGUAUGACAUGUGCGUGCUGUGAAUGUGUCCCCUAGCGUCUGCUGCCAGUGCUUGACGUCAGACUGUUGUUACAGAAGUUGACAUGGAAAUAAGGAUCUUCCUCUUCUCUAUUACCUGUGGUGUAUUUAUCUAAACUGUGGUCUGUGACAUGUUAGUACUAAUAUGUGAACAAUCCUUUGAACCCGCUGAAUACCUAAUACAUUAAACACACACUGGAACUA
This is an RNA transcript of Oncorhynchus kisutch (coho salmon), 2690 nucleotides long. It is a transcript of the gene named MPN domain containing, with no coding region annotated. NCBI's taxonomy places the organism in Eukaryota, Metazoa, Chordata, Actinopteri, Salmoniformes, Salmonidae. The transcript is spliced from 13 exons. The record is from RefSeq and is a predicted model, not a curated record.